RNAcentral lists this ribosomal RNA (37 nucleotides) under Amaranthus spinosus. RNAcentral's name for it is "partial 26S ribosomal RNA". Lineage: Eukaryota; Viridiplantae; Streptophyta; Magnoliopsida; Caryophyllales; Amaranthaceae. The record is from RNAcentral.
UGCGACCCCAGGUCAGGCGGGACUACCCGCUGAGUUU